This 452-nucleotide ribosomal RNA is filed under the name uncultured bacterium. RNAcentral's name for it is "bacterial SSU rRNA". It matches the Rfam family "Bacterial small subunit ribosomal RNA", at positions 1 to 507 of the family's 1533-position model. The record is from RNAcentral.
AGUAGUUUGAUCAUGGCUCAGAUGAACGCUGGCGGCAGGCCUAACACAUGCAAGUCGAACGGGUCCUUCGGGACUAGUGGCGGACGGGUGAGUAACGCGUGGGAACAUACCCUUUGGUACGGAAUAGCCUCGGGAAACUGGGAGUAAUACCGUAUGUGGUCGAGAGACGAAAGAUUUAUCGCCAAAGGAUUGGCCCGCGUUGGAUUAGGUAGUUGGUGGGGUAAUGGCCUACCAAGCCGACGAUCCAUAGCUGGUUUGAGAGGAUGAUCAGCCACACUGGGACUGAGACACGGCCCAGACUCCUACGGGAGGCAGCAGUGGGGAAUCUUAGACAAUGGGGAAACCCUGAUCUAGCCAUGCCGCGUGAUCGAUGAAGGCCUUAGGGUUGUAAAGAUCUUUCAGGUGGGAAGAUAAUGACUGUACCACCAGAAGAAGCCCCGGCUAACUCCGUG